AAUGGGCGCAAGCCUGAUGCAGCCAUGGCCGCGUGUGUGAAGUAAGGCCUUCGGGUUGUAAAGCACUUUCAGUUGUGAGGAAGGUGGUGUCGUUAAUACGCGGCAUCAUUUGACGUUAGCAACAGAAGAAGCACCGGCUAACUCCGUGCCAGCAGCCGCGGUAAUACGGAGGGUGCGAGCGUUAAUCGGAAUUACUGGGCGUAAAGCGCAUGCAGGUGGUUUGUUAAGUCAGAUGUGAAAGCCCGGGGCUCAACCUCGGAACUGCAUUUGAAACUGGCAGACUAGAGUACUGUAGAGGGGGUAGAAUUUCAGGUGUAGCGGUGAAAUGCGUAGAGAUCUGAAGGAAUACCGGUGGCGAAGGCGGCCCCCUGGACAGAUACUGACACUCAGAUGCGAAAGCGUGGGGAGCAAACAGGAUUAGAUACCCUGGUAG
This 433-nucleotide ribosomal RNA is filed under the name uncultured bacterium. RNAcentral's name for it is "bacterial SSU rRNA". It matches the Rfam family "Bacterial small subunit ribosomal RNA", at positions 370 to 793 of the family's 1533-position model. The record is from RNAcentral.